UACGUAGGGAGCAAGCGUUGUCCGGAAUCAUUGGGCGUAAAGCGCGCGUAGGUGGCUCCAUAAGUCCGUUGUGAAAGUCAAAGGCUCAACCUUUGAAAGCCGAUGGAUACUGUGGAGCUAGAGUACGGAAGAGGCGAGUGGAAUUCCUGGUGUAGCGGUGGAAUGCGCAGAGAUCGGGAGGAACACCAGUGGCGAAAGCGGCUCUCUGGUCCAAAACUGACGCUGAGGGGCGAAAGCGUGGGGAGCGAACGGG
Molecule: ribosomal RNA, 253 nt
Filed under: uncultured bacterium
Lineage: Bacteria
Description: partial 16S ribosomal RNA
Rfam family: Bacterial small subunit ribosomal RNA
Source: RNAcentral